GUGGGAUUUAAUACAUGGAAAUAGAGUAGUGUAGUGGUAGAUCUGCUCAAUCUAGGUGUGUCGCUUGUAUUCCAAUUAAAUGAGUUGUGAUUUCUUUGACUGGGCUUUUGGGGGUUGGACAUUUACCAAAAGAAAUUGGUGCCCAACUUGGGGCCUGAACCCAUGACCCUGAGGCAGAACCUUUAACAAAGAAUACAGCAACACAAGGAACAGGAAGAGCAACAAAAAGAAAUAUAUAAAGUGUAGAUACAGACCUUAAGGGAGGAAUUUAAAUUUUCAAUUAAAGAAAAUACUCAGGUAGAGACAGAAGAUAAAAUUAGAGAAAACCAACCAAAGGUUAUUAGGAAACAAACUUUAGUCUACCCAGUUAAUAUACAACAAAGACCCCCAGACGAUGAUUAUCCAUAGGGUUAUCAAGAAUCAGAAUGGCAACCCAUGGAUGUGUUAGAUCUUAGAAAAUUUAAGGAAAGUGUCACUUUGGAAUACAUUCACCAUUUGUAAAAGAAAUCCUGACUUCUUGGGCUAUUAAAAACAGAAUAAUCCCCCAAGACUGAAAGGAUAUGGCAAGAGCAGUACUAGAACCUGCUUCAAAUUUACAAUGGUUCGCAUGGUGGAGAGAGAAGGAGAGGGAGAUAGCAUGACAAAAUAGAGCCAAAGGUAGGGAGAUUUUCACAGACCAGAUGCUUGGUGAAGGCCACUUAGUUGAGGUAAAGGUACAGGGUAUAUAUGAUGAAGAAACUCUGAUAUUGUGUCAAUUGUCAGCCUUAAAGGCCUGGGACAAAGUUACAGAAUCAGGGAAAAGACUUGAAUCAUUUACUCAAGUCAUACAAGGUCCAGAAAAAACAAAAAAACAAAAAACAAAAACAAACAAACAAACAAACAAACAAAAAAACCAAAAAACCUUCCCUGACUUUUUACAAAGGCUAACCUCAGCUAUGAAAAGGAGAAUAUCAGAUUCAUCAACAAGAAAGGUAAUAAUUGAAUCUUUAGCCUUUGAAAAUGCAAAUGCUAAGUACAAGGAAGUAAUCAGACUACUGAGGGUAAGGUCAACAUUAAUAGAUAAGUAGAUUAGAUAUACAGCUGCUGUUAGAUCUAGCAUACCUGAUAUGACUGUAAUAGGAGAAGUAGCCACUAGACACCUAGAGAUGACCCAAGAUUUCAAAUGUUUUAGUUGUGGUAAGCAGGAUUAUCUCAGAAACGACUCAGUGUCUAGCCAUGAAACCUGUCAGGCUCCUAAUAAAAAUUUUAAAUUAGUUAGGGAAUGUUAUCAAAGGCAGUUACAGACUGUCCAAGCUGUCCAUAAACAAGAUACAACCGAGGCUGACAAUUUAAUUCUACACCAAGAAGCCACUGCUGCCAAGACACCAACAGACUUAUCACUAAGUUGGCUGACUGACCAUUCAUCUGGAUUGAUAAAUAGUCUAUGACAAAAUAAAAACUACAGGUAUUAGAACAGCUAGUCCAGGAGCAGCUAGAGGCUCAACAUAUAGAAGUGUCUAUCAGCCCUUAAAAUUCUCCAAUAUUUGUCAUUAAAAAAAUCUGGCAAAUGGAGGAUGUUGACAGAUUUCAGAUUGGUUAAUAAGAUUAUUCAGCCAAUGGGUUCCUUGAAGCCUGGGAUCCCAUUGCCUUCCUUGUUCUCUAAGGAAUGGCCUAUCAUAGUGAUUGAUCUGAAGGAUUGUUUUUUUCACCAUUCCUCUACAUGAAUGUGAUAAGGAAAGGUUUGCUUUCUUAGUGCCUACAUUCAAUAAAGGUCACCCAAUGAAAACAUAUCGUUAAAAAGCCCUGCCAUAGCUGGGCAGUGGUGGAGCAUGUCUUUAAUCCCAGUACUUGGGAGUAAGAGGCAGGUGGAUUUCUGAGUUCGAGGCCAGCCUGGUCUACAAAGUCAGUUCAAGGACAGUCAGGGCUAUACAGAGAAACCCUGUCUCCAAACAAACAAACAAACAAACAAACAAAAAGUCCUGCCAUAAGGAAUGUUAAAUAGCCCUACCUUGUGUCAAUAGUUUGUACAAUAGCCAUUGGAAAUGAUUCACAAGCAAUUUCUCCAAUCCAUUAUUUAUCAUUAUAGAGAUGACAUCUUAUUGACUGAUCCAGAUAAUAUCAUGAAAAAACGUUUGAUGAUGUUAAAGAAAAGCUAACUCCUUUUC
RNAcentral lists this long non-coding RNA (2144 nucleotides) under Mus musculus (house mouse). RNAcentral describes it as "long non-coding RNA chr1:11704206-11706350". Lineage: Eukaryota; Metazoa; Chordata; Mammalia; Rodentia; Muridae. The record is from RNAcentral.